This 99-nucleotide ribosomal RNA is filed under the name Bacteroides sp. RNAcentral describes it as "partial 16S ribosomal RNA". It matches the Rfam family "Bacterial small subunit ribosomal RNA", at positions 1 to 92 of the family's 1533-position model. Lineage: Bacteria; Pseudomonadati; Bacteroidota; Bacteroidia; Bacteroidales; Bacteroidaceae. The record is from RNAcentral. RNAcentral also lists the same sequence under 1 other name.
CAACAACGAAGAGUUUGAUCCUGGCUCAGGAUGAACGCUAGCGACAGGCUUAACACAUGCAAGUCGAGGGGCAGCAGGGGAAGGACUUGUCCUUCCCGC